GAUGAAGAACGUAGUGAAAUGCGAUAAGUAAUGCGAAUUGCAGAAUUCAGUGAGUCAUCGAAUCUUUGAACGCACAUUGCGCCCGCCAGUAUUCUGGCGGGCAUGCCUGUCUGAGCGUCAUUUCAACCCUCAUGCCCCUAGGGCGUGGUGUUGGGGAUCGGCCAAAGCCCGCGAGGGACGGCCGGCCCCUAAAUCUAGUGGCGGACCCGUCGUGGCCUCCUCUGCGAAGUAGUGAUAUUCCGCAUCGGAGAGCGACGAGCCCCUGCCGUUAAACCCCCAACUUUCCAAGGUUGACCUCAGAUCAGGUAGGAAUACCCGCUGAACUUAAGCAUAUCAAUAAGCGGAGGA
RNAcentral lists this unclassified non-coding RNA (348 nucleotides) under soil metagenome. Its description in RNAcentral is "partial contains 5.8S ribosomal RNA, internal transcribed spacer 2, and large subunit ribosomal RNA". The stretch from base 1 to 120 matches the Rfam family "5.8S ribosomal RNA", at positions 35 to 154 of the family's 154-position model. The record is from RNAcentral.